Molecule: ribosomal RNA, 477 nt
Filed under: uncultured bacterium
Lineage: Bacteria
Description: bacterial SSU rRNA
Rfam family: Bacterial small subunit ribosomal RNA
Source: RNAcentral
AGAGUUUGAUCCUGGCUCAGGACGAACGCUGGCGGCGUGCUUAACACAUGCAAGUCGAACGGAAAGGCCCUGCUUUUGUGGGGUGCUCGAGUGGCGAACGGGUGAGUAACACGUGAGUAACCUGCCCUUGACUUUGGGAUAACUUCAGGAAACUGGGGCUAAUACCGGAUAGGAGCUCCUGCUGCAUGGUGGGGGUUGGAAAGUUUCGGCGGUUGGGGAUGGACUCGCGGCUUAUCAGCUUGUUGGUGGGGUAGUGGCUUACCAAGGCUUUGACGGGUAGCCGGCCUGAGAGGGUGACCGGCCACAUUGGGACUGAGAUACGGCCCAGACUCCUACGGGAGGCAGCAGUGGGGAAUAUUGCACAAUGGGCGGAAGCCUGAUGCAGCAACGCCGCGUGCGGGAUGACGGCCUUCGGGUUGUAAACCGCUUUCGCCUGUGACGAAGCGUGAGUGACGGUAAUGGGUAAAGAAGCACCGG